RNAcentral lists this unclassified non-coding RNA (378 nucleotides) under uncultured bacterium. RNAcentral describes it as "contains 16S-23S intergenic spacer region". The record is from RNAcentral.
UCCAGCUUAUCGCUGGCGGUCUCCUGCGAGUUGCGCCUUGCGGCAUGCCAACACAGGACAAGGGUUGCGCUCGUUGCGGGACUUAACCCAACAUCUCACGACACGAGCUGACGACAGCCAUGCAGCACCUGUGCUGGAGCUCCGAAGAGGGGCACCUGUUUCCAGGCGCUUUCCCCAGCAUGUCAAGCCUUGGUAAGGUUCUUCGCGUCGCGUCGAAUUAAACCACAUGCUCCGCUGCUUGUGCGGGCCCCCGUCAAUUCCUUUGAGUUUCAGCCUUGCGGCCGUACUCCCCAGGCGGGGCACUUCAUGCGUUAGCGCCGGUACUCCAAGGGUCGCUCCCCCCGACGCCUAGUGCCCAUCGUUUACGGCGUGGACUAC